UAAACAUCAUAGUCAGCCCUGGGCCUUAGGAGCAUUAUUCUGAUAGUUACAUGAAAAACGAGAGAGUGGAACCAAGAUCAUUUCUAGGGAUAUUGAAAUAAUCUAGAUGAGAUGGGAUGAAUGUCUAAUCUACGGUGGGAGCAGUUCAAAAAAAUGUUCAAAACAGGCAUGAGACACCUGAAUACCCCAGCUAGGAAUAAUGAAAUAGGACCCCAGUUCUAUUUUGUUGCUUUUUUAGAACUGGUACCAUGAUUAAGAGACUGCUGGGAGCAUUCCUAUUGUGCUGCUAGAGGAGAAAUUCUUGAAGUGGCACAAUAUGGACCAGAGUGAAAACAUUUGCCAAGAAUAUUUUCAUUAAUCAAGAACAAAAAUCAAAGGUUCUGAGACAAUCAGAUACUAUCAUCAUUUCAACAAUAGAUGAUGCCAACUUGCAAUCUGGCAGCAUUAUUCCCAUGACCCACUGGGUAGCUUCUGGGAAAAUCAGAGUCUUUGGGGG
This 496-nucleotide non-coding RNA is filed under the name Monodelphis domestica (gray short-tailed opossum). RNAcentral's name for it is "Eukaryotic small subunit ribosomal RNA". It matches the Rfam family "Eukaryotic small subunit ribosomal RNA", at positions 620 to 1113 of the family's 1831-position model. Lineage: Eukaryota; Metazoa; Chordata; Mammalia; Didelphimorphia; Didelphidae. The record is from Rfam by way of RNAcentral.